GCCUCGGUGCUGUAGUGGUGAAGCACGCGUCCUCGGAUAGAAUGAAACGCGAGUUCGAUUCUCGCCUGAGGCC
Parelaphostrongylus tenuis is the source of this 73-nucleotide non-coding RNA. The record is from the annotation of a GenBank genome assembly. Lineage: Eukaryota; Metazoa; Nematoda; Chromadorea; Rhabditida; Metastrongylidae.